AAGAGCCUGUGUACAAGUCGAUUGCACAAUCAGACGAGCCCUCCAAAAUCCCAAACUAGGGAACAAAACUUCCUCUUCGCUGAACAUCGAAUUUGAGCUUGACUCACGCGAACUCUGACACCACAGCAAUGGCCGCUAGGAAUUUUCUGCUUCACCGCCUUCGGAUCAAUAGCUUCCAAGGCUUCACGGUGGCGCCGCCUCAGGGCCACCGUCUGUGGUGCAGUGCCACCUCAUCUCCUGAAGAAGCUACCGAGAACGCAUCAGGCGGGACCCACACCGGCGGUUCCGACGUCGAGCUGGAUGAUACAGAAUGGAGGGACAAAGAAGAGAAGAUUGUGAGAGACAUUGAACCGAUCGUUAAGCUAACCAGACAUAUUCUCUUCUCACCAAGGUACAAGAAUGGGGAGCUAUUGUCUAUGGAGGAUGAAAGAGCCAUAGCAGAAAACGUUCUUAUUUAUCAUCCAGAUUAUGAAGAUAAAAUCGGAAGUGGUUUGUGCGGCAUUAUGGUUCUUUCUUCCGGUCAAUUGCUUCGAAUGUGUUGUCAAUUGCUUCGAAUGUGCUGCAUAUUCCUGGCCUUCUAAUUAUCAACAAUCAUAAGAACAUGCGCAAGGGCUAUGGCCUUAGGAAGUAAAUAACACCAUUUCAAAAGGUAGACUUAAAUAUAGGGUCGAUUACCCUUUUACCCUUAUGUUCAUUUGCUCUUGUAGACUUGAACCACUCAUUUGAAGUAGACGUCUAUCUACAGUUUCUCCAAUGCCAUUAUGUGAAGUCAAAUCAAGGUUAUCACUGGUAGUUUUACCACUGCACAAAAUACUGAAGCGUAAGUGCUCCAUGGGGCUGUUCCCUUUGGCUGAGCGGAUGGUAUUAUGACUUGUAGUGACCAAUGAGAAGUUAAGCCUUCUGAACUCUAAACACACAAAAUAGAAAAUGAGCAACAAAACAGAACAGAGACCUGACCUGCAGCUAUGACGAUUUGUGCUCCACCAAAAUAAAAGUCAAGGAACAACUCGACGGACAUGCAAGAUUCAGAACUCAUGAAAUGAAAACUGAAAACGCCCUGCAGAACAUUAAACAUAUUGUGUUCAGUACAGAGCAAUUGGGUGAAGAACUUAACUGGAAAAUGCCUCGCUUGGAUGGAACUGUACUAGAGAACAGUGAGUUGAAGGGCAUUUAAAUGAUAUAUUGCCAUCUGGUAUUGGAAAUCGCUACAUGGAUUGGUGAUUUCCUGGUGAUAUGGCAGAAAGCUCCAGAUUGGUUGAUCAGCAUCCUCUAUAUCUAUUUCCAAGGUGCCUUUUUGUGGUAAGAACUGACUGUAGCUGGAUCGACUUCUCAUAUCGGGUGUGCCUUGAAGAAUACAUUAAAAAUAAGUACCAAAUAAGUGCAGAAAGGUUUGUUAAUAAAAGGUUUCUUAAAGAUCUUACUAAACGAUGGGGUAUUUGAUAUGGAGGUAUUGGAACUUAAAUUUGUGAAGUAAAUGGUAGAAGAUGACAAUUGACUGGGAUGUGUAGCUUAUUUCUGAAGGGAGCGUAGAAAAUUAUUGAAGCUAGCUUGCAGAACAUUUUUCUUUGUAAAAUUUCAUGAUUAGGUAACUCGCAGACAGUAAGGAAUAAUGUUUUGUGGA
Molecule: unclassified non-coding RNA, 1621 nt
Organism: Vigna unguiculata (cowpea)
Lineage: Eukaryota; Viridiplantae; Streptophyta; Magnoliopsida; Fabales; Fabaceae
Source: RefSeq, a predicted model, not a curated record